CUUUCAACAACGGAUCUCUUGGCUCUGGCAUCGAUGAAGAACGCAGCGAAAUGCGAUACGUAAUGUGAAUUGCAGAAUUCAGCGAACCAUCGAAUCUUUGAACGCACAUUGCGCCCGCCAGCAUUCUGGCGGGCAUGCCUGUCCGAGCGUCAUUUCCC
RNAcentral lists this ribosomal RNA (158 nucleotides) under Sporothrix globosa. RNAcentral's name for it is "5.8S ribosomal RNA". It matches the Rfam family "5.8S ribosomal RNA". Rfam says of the family: 5.8S ribosomal RNA (5.8S rRNA) is a component of the large subunit of the eukaryotic ribosome. It is transcribed by RNA polymerase I as part of the 45S precursor that also contains 18S and 28S rRNA. Lineage: Eukaryota; Fungi; Ascomycota; Sordariomycetes; Ophiostomatales; Ophiostomataceae. The record is from RNAcentral. RNAcentral also lists the same sequence under 2 other names.